AUUGAAAGACUCGAAUAAUUAAUAUCAGAUAAUGAAUAGUGUUAGUAAAAAGUUG
Molecule: non-coding RNA, 55 nt
Filed under: Aureoumbra lagunensis
Lineage: Eukaryota; Pelagophyceae; Sarcinochrysidales; Sarcinochrysidaceae
Source: RNAcentral